CUGUCGGAGCCGAUGUUCUAGCU
This 23-nucleotide microRNA is filed under the name Columba livia (rock pigeon). RNAcentral's name for it is "cli-miR-9625-5p". Lineage: Eukaryota; Metazoa; Chordata; Aves; Columbiformes; Columbidae. The record is from miRBase by way of RNAcentral.